GACGAACGCUGGCGGCGUGCUUAACACAUGCAAGUCGAACGGUGAAGCGCCUUCCUUUUUGGUGGGUGUGGAUGAGUGGCGAACGGGUGAGUAACACGUGAGUAACCUGCCCCCUUCUUCUGGAUAACCGCAUGAAAGUGUGGCUAAUACGGGAUAUUCUGUGUCUGUCGCAUGAUGGGUCUGGGAAAGAUAUUGUUUCGGUGGGGGAUGGGCUCGCGGCCUAUCAGCUUGUUGGUGGGGUGAUGGCCUACCAAGGCGGUGACGGGUAGCCGGCCUGAGAGGGUGGACGGUCACACUGGGACUGAGACACGGCCCAGACUCCUACGGGAGGCAGCAGGGGGGAUUAUUGCACAAUGGGCGGAAGGCUGAUGCAGCGACGCCGCGUGAGGGAUGGAGGCCUUCGGGUUGUGAACCUCUUUCGCCAGUGAAGCAGGCCUGCCUCGUUUGUGGGUGGGUUGACGGUAGCUGGAUAAGAAGCGCCGGCUAACUACGUG
Molecule: ribosomal RNA, 494 nt
Filed under: uncultured bacterium
Lineage: Bacteria
Description: partial 16S ribosomal RNA
Rfam family: Bacterial small subunit ribosomal RNA
Source: RNAcentral